AACGUAGGUGGCAAGCGUUAUCCGGAAUUACUGGGCGUAAAGGGCGCGUAGGCGGCCAGCACAAGUCAGUUGUGAAAUCUCCGAGCUUAACUCGGAAAGGUCAACUGAUACUGUGCGGCUAGAGUGCGGAAGGGGCAACUGGAAUUCUUGGUGUAGCGGUGAAAUGCGUAGAUAUCAAGAGGAACACCUGCGGCGAAGGCGGGUUGCUGGGCCGACACUGACGCUGAGGCGCGAAAGCCAGGGGAGCGAACGGG
This 254-nucleotide ribosomal RNA is filed under the name uncultured bacterium. RNAcentral's name for it is "partial 16S ribosomal RNA". It matches the Rfam family "Bacterial small subunit ribosomal RNA", at positions 524 to 776 of the family's 1533-position model. The record is from RNAcentral.